This is a small nucleolar RNA of Cercocebus atys (sooty mangabey), 82 nucleotides long. Its record names the gene SNORD115. It matches the Rfam family "Small nucleolar RNA SNORD115". Rfam says of the family: HBII-52 is a member of the C/D class of snoRNAs, which contain the C (UGAUGA) and D (CUGA) box motifs. HBII-52 is encoded in a tandemly repeated array with another C/D snoRNA, HBII-85, in the Prader-Willi syndrome (PWS) region of chromosome 15. HBII-52 is exclusively expressed in the brain but is absent in PWS patients. NCBI's taxonomy places the organism in Eukaryota, Metazoa, Chordata, Mammalia, Primates, Cercopithecidae. The record is from Ensembl.
GGGUCAAUGAUGAGAACCCUAUAUCGUGUUGAAGAGAGGUGAUGACUUAAAAUUACCAUGCUCAAUGAUUACGCUGAGGCCC